Vicugna pacos (alpaca) is the source of this 1636-nucleotide non-coding RNA. NCBI's taxonomy places the organism in Eukaryota, Metazoa, Chordata, Mammalia, Artiodactyla, Camelidae. The record is from RefSeq and is a predicted model, not a curated record.
CUGCCGCCUCUCGCCCCAGCCGGGCUCCCCUCACUCCGUGGCUGGCGUCCCCUUCCCCUCUCCCUCCCUCGAGUCCUCUCCUCCCGGGCUUCCUCUCCUUAGCCGCCGACCCGUCCCCGCCCCUGGGCGGGCUGUGUCCCGUGUGGGCAGUGUCUGCCGACCCGGACGGGGGCUGGCGGCUGGGCUGGGGCUGGCCUCCAAGCAGGGCUGCAGCCCGCGUCACACCCCCUCUGCUUUCCCUGCCCCGCGACCCCGGGGCUGCCCUCCUCUCCCUUUCCCGCUCCCUGAGGACAAGCUCAGCGGCUUGGGCGCUGCUCCCCUGGCUCAGAGUCUCCAGCUGUAAAGCCCAGCUUCUCCUGGUGGAGUCGGGAAUAGGGAGAAUCAGUGCUGAGCGAGCUUCAGUCUCCUCCCUCAGUGUUUCUGCCCCAGUACGUUUUGGUUACUGAGACCUUCGAAUUCCGAUAUGAAUCGUAGCAGCAGCUAGUCAGUUUCUGCAGAGGAGCCCGCUGGGAUUGUAAUCGAAACCACGUUGAAUAUACGGAUCGCUGUGGGGAGCACUGCCAUUCCAAGAGCGCUGUCUUCUGAUCCAUGAAUGUGCGUGGUAUGUCUGUCCAGCUAUCCAUGUGGGUCAAAUCAUGGUGACCCUUUAAAACCUCCAAAAAAACAAAGUUAUUCUCUAUUUUGCAACUAGCCAUCUCUACAUAAGUGCAGAAGAGCUAACAUCCUUAAAGAUCAGAGCCCGCAGAAUAGGCCCUCCUGGAUAUUUCAGGAUAAAGGCAACUUUCUUUUACAAAAGGAUCUGAGAAGCAGGAGCAAGGAACUCAGGGAGAGAUCCAGGAAGACAUCUGACUCUGUUAAGAGACGACAGUCACAGCGACACGGGGAGUGAAGACACUUGCAGCAAAUUAAAAUAACUUCACAACUAUUGCAUCAGAGCUGCAGGUGUGAAAGAGCCUAAGCCUGUUUCAGAGUGCAGGGGACAAGAGAAAAGGAAUGUGUAAGAAUGCCGGUGACUGAGUUAGAAGCAUGCUUCCAAGCUGUCCGUGUCCUUUCCAUCCAGAAGCGGAGCCUGGAAGCUUCUGAAUUUCUCCAGAAUGCGAUUUACAUUCACUUUCGACAGAUAAGGAGACUGAGGAUUAAGUCUACUCUCUUUUGGGGGGAGCUCAUUAUCAAUGACUGGAAGUUGUAAGGAAAAAGAUAUUGAUUCAUCCUGAGAAAACAUUUUUCUGAGUCAGCAUUGAAGAAGGUGACCACUGAGGAGGGUGAUCAUUGUUCGAGUGAGAAGAGCCCCGGAUUGUACGGAGUCAGCAUCCCUUUCCUGGACACGGCACGUGUAGUGCUGCCUGGUGGGUGAGACGGCGCGGCCGCGCAGGGAACAAGGAUGCCGGACCGUUGGGCUGUGCUUAGGCCCGGUGGGGCUUUUUCUUAAGGGCAGUGGACCGUCACUGACAGAUUUUAAGUAGGGGAGUGGGGUGCUCUCCUAGAUCACUUUUGUGUUUGUAGAAUGCUUGCAAACAUUCAGUAGGCUCGGCAGGAGGUGAUGUGAUGAAUCAGAGUAGGGUGGCUGUGAGGUGUAACAGUGUUCAAUUUUCAAGUGGUUUUCAGUCCCAGUUUUGUGGCUCAGUAGCCGUGUCAC